CGGGUGAGUAAUGUAUGGGGAUCUGCCUGAUGGCGGGGGAUAACUACUGGAAACGGUAGCUAAUACCGCAUAAAUGUCUGCGGACCAAAGCGGGGGACCUCCGGGCCUCGCGCCAUCAGAUGAACCCAUAUGGGAUUAGCUAGUAGGUAAGGUAACGGCUUACCUAGGCGACGAUCCCUAGCUGGUCUGAGAGGAUGAUCAGCCACACUGGGACUGAGACACGGCCCAG
This 229-nucleotide ribosomal RNA is filed under the name uncultured bacterium. RNAcentral describes it as "partial 16S ribosomal RNA". It matches the Rfam family "Bacterial small subunit ribosomal RNA", at positions 103 to 334 of the family's 1533-position model. The record is from RNAcentral.